RNAcentral lists this ribosomal RNA (467 nucleotides) under uncultured bacterium. Its description in RNAcentral is "partial 16S ribosomal RNA". It matches the Rfam family "Bacterial small subunit ribosomal RNA", at positions 28 to 507 of the family's 1533-position model. The record is from RNAcentral.
GACGAACGCUGGCGGCGUGCUUAACACAUGCAAGUCGAACGGAAAGGCUCCAGCUUGCUGGAGUACUCGAGUGGCGAACGGGUGAGUAACACGUGGGUAAUCUGCCCUGCACUCUGGGAUAAGCCUGGGAAACUGGGUCUAAUACUGGAUAUGACCUUUCUCCUUAUGGGGUUUGUUGGAAAGUUUUGCGGUGUAGGAUGAGCCCGCGGCCUAUCAGCUUGUUGGUGGGGUGAUGGCCUACCAAGGCGACGACGGGUAGCCGGCCUGAGAGGGUGAUCGGCCACAUUGGGACUGAGAUACGGCCCAGACUCCUACGGGAGGCAGCAGUGGGGAAUAUUGCACAAUGGGCGGAAGCCUGAUGCAGCGACGCCGCGUGAGGGAUGACGGCCUUCGGGUUGUAAACCUCUUUCAGCAGGGACGAAGCGUAAGUGACGGUACCUGCAGAAGAAGCACCGGCUAACUAUGUG